UACGUAGGGGGCUAGCGUUGUCCGGAUUUAUUGGGCGUAAAGAGCGUGUAGGCGGCCAGGUAGGUCCGGUGUGAAAACUCGAGGCUUAACCUCGAGAUGUCAUCGGAAACCAUCUGGCUAGAGUCCGGAAGAGGAAAGUGGAAUUCCUGGUGUAGUGGUGAAAUGCGUAGAUAUCGGGAGGAACACCAGUGGCGAAGGCGACUUCCUGGCCUGUUCUUGACGCUGAGGCGCGAAAGCUAGGGUAGCAAACGGG
This 253-nucleotide ribosomal RNA is filed under the name uncultured bacterium. Its description in RNAcentral is "partial 16S ribosomal RNA". It matches the Rfam family "Bacterial small subunit ribosomal RNA", at positions 524 to 776 of the family's 1533-position model. The record is from RNAcentral.